Molecule: ribosomal RNA, 498 nt
Filed under: uncultured bacterium
Lineage: Bacteria
Description: partial 16S ribosomal RNA
Rfam family: Bacterial small subunit ribosomal RNA
Source: RNAcentral
GACGAACGCUGGCGGCGUGCCUAAUACAUGCAAGUCGAACGAGAGCGCCCGGUUCUUGCACUGGUCAAUCUAGUGGCGAACGGGUGAGUAACACGUGGGUAACCUGCCCAUCAGAGGGGGAUAACAUCCGGAAACGGAUGCUAAAACCGCAUAGGUCUUCGAACCGCAUGGUUUUAAGAGGAAAAGAGGCGCAAGCUUCUGCUGAUGGAUGGACCCGCGGUGCAUUAGCUAGUUGGUGAGGUAACGACUCACCAAGGCCGUGAUGCAUAGCCGACCUGAGAGGGUGAUCGGCCACAUUGGGACUGAGACACGGCCCAAACUCCUACGGGAGGCAGCAGUAGGGAAUAUUCCGCAAUGGACGCAAGUCUGACGGAGCAACGCCGCGUGAGUGAAGAAGGUUUUCGGAUCGUAAAACUCUGUUGUUAGAGAAGAACAAGUGCUAGAGUAACUGUUAGCGCCUUGACGGUAUCUAACCAGAAAGCCACGGCUAACUACGUG